UACAGAGAGUGCAAGCGUUAAUCGGAAUUACUGGGCGUAAAGCGCGCGUAGACGGUUGUAUAAGUUGGGUGUGAAAUCCCCGAACUCAACCUGGGAAUUGCACUCAAAACUGUACGGCUAGAGUGUGGGAAAGGAAGGUAGAAUUCCAAGUGUAACGGUGAAAUGCGUAGAUAUCUGGAAGAAUACCGAUGGCGAAGACAACCUUCUGACCUAACACUGACACUGAAAUGCGAAAGCAUGGGGAACAAACAGG
RNAcentral lists this ribosomal RNA (253 nucleotides) under uncultured bacterium. Its description in RNAcentral is "partial 16S ribosomal RNA". It matches the Rfam family "Bacterial small subunit ribosomal RNA", at positions 524 to 776 of the family's 1533-position model. The record is from RNAcentral.